This 253-nucleotide ribosomal RNA is filed under the name uncultured bacterium. RNAcentral's name for it is "partial 16S ribosomal RNA". It matches the Rfam family "Bacterial small subunit ribosomal RNA", at positions 524 to 776 of the family's 1533-position model. The record is from RNAcentral.
UACGUAGGGUGCAAGCGUUAAUCGGAAUUACCGGGCGUAAAGCGUGCGCAGGCGGUGAUGUAAGACAGAUGUGAAAUCCCAGGGCUCAACCUGGGAACUGCAUUUGUGACUGCAUCGCUGGAGUGCGGCAGAGGGGGAUGGAAUUCCGCGUGUAGCAGUGAAAUGCGUAGAUAUGCGGAGGAACACCGAUGGCGAAGGCGGCUCUCUGGGACGGUACUGACGCUGAGACGCGAAAGCGUGGGGAGCAAACAGG